Molecule: ribosomal RNA, 342 nt
Filed under: uncultured beta proteobacterium
Lineage: Bacteria; Pseudomonadati; Pseudomonadota; Betaproteobacteria
Description: bacterial SSU rRNA
Rfam family: Bacterial small subunit ribosomal RNA
Source: RNAcentral
AGAGUUUGAUUCUGGCUCAGAUUGAACGCUGGCGGCAUGCCUUACACAUGCAAGUCGAACGGCAGCGCGGGAGCAAUCCUGGCGGCGAGUGGCGAACGGGUGAGUAAUGCAUCGGAACGUGCCCUGAAGUGGGGGAUAACGUAGCGAAAGUUACGCUAAUACCGCAUAUUCUGUGAGCAGGAAAGCAGGGGAUCGCAAGACCUUGCGCUUUAGGAGCGGCCGAUGUCGGAUUAGCUAGUUGGUGGGGUAAAGGCCUACCAAGGCGACGAUCCGUAGCGGGUCUGAGAGGAUGAUCCGCCACACUGGGACUGAGACACGGCCCAGACUCCUACGGGAGGCAUC